RNAcentral lists this ribosomal RNA (1011 nucleotides) under Proteus mirabilis. RNAcentral describes it as "partial 23S ribosomal RNA". It matches the Rfam family "Bacterial large subunit ribosomal RNA", at positions 1920 to 2925 of the family's 2925-position model. The record is from RNAcentral. Lineage: Bacteria; Pseudomonadati; Pseudomonadota; Gammaproteobacteria; Enterobacterales; Morganellaceae.
CCAGUAAACGGCGGCCGUAACUAUAACGGUCCUAAGGUAGCGAAAUUCCUUGUCGGGUAAGUUCCGACCUGCACGAAUGGCGUAAUGAUGGCCAGGCUGUCUCCACCCGAGACUCAGUGAAAUUGAACUCGCUGUGAAGAUGCAGUGUACCCGCGGCAAGACGGAAAGACCCCGUGAACCUUUACUAUAGCUUGACACUGAACAUUGAGCCUUGAUGUGUAGGAUAGGUGGGAGGCUUUGAAGUGUGGACGCCAGUCUGCAUGGAGCCAACCUUGAAAUACCACCCUUUAACGUUUGAUGUUCUAACCUAGGCCCAUAAACUGGGUCGGGGACCGUGUCUGGUGGGUAGUUUGACUGGGGCGGUCUCCUCCUAAAGAGUAACGGAGGAGCACGAAGGUUGGCUAAGCAUGGUCGGACAUCAUGCGGUUAGUGCAAAGGCAUAAGCCAGCUUGACUGCGAGAGUGACGGCUCGAGCAGGUACGAAAGUAGGUCUUAGUGAUCCGGUGGUUCUGAAUGGAAGGGCCAUCGCUCAACGGAUAAAAGGUACUCCGGGGAUAACAGGCUGAUACCGCCCAAGAGUUCAUAUCGACGGCGGUGUUUGGCACCUCGAUGUCGGCUCAUCACAUCCUGGGGCUGAAGUAGGUCCCAAGGGUAUGGCUGUUCGCCAUUUAAAGUGGUACGCGAGCUGGGUUUAGAACGUCGUGAGACAGUUCGGUCCCUAUCUGCCGUGGGCGUUGGAAGAUUGAGAGGGGUUGCUCCUAGUACGAGAGGACCGGAGUGAACGCACCACUGGUGUUCGGGUUGUCAUGCCAAUGGCAUUGCCCGGUAGCUAAGUGCGGAAGAGAUAACCGCUGAAAGCAUCUAAGCGGGAAACUUGCCUCGAGAUGAGUCUUCCCUGUCGCUUUAAGUGACCUAAAGGAACGUUUAAGACUAAGACGUUGAUAGGCUGGGUGUGUAAGCGUAGCGAUACGUUGAGCUAACCAGUACUAAUGAACCGUGAGGCUUAACCUG